CGUCUCUCUCUCUCUCUCUCUCUCUCUCUCUCUCUCAUCAAAGAGUUUGUCGGCGUCAUUGUAGUUCUCGCCGUCGAAAUGGUUUGGAUCUUCUCAUCAGGUCUUCGUGUCGUCGACUCGUCGUGGCUUUACUCUUCGUCUCUUUGAUGACACCUUGCAAAAAACAAGCCUGGUGAGCUCCGCCAUUGUCCACCAACUCCAAUUCCUUGUCUUCACCAACCUCGUCAACCUCCUCUUCACCAAUUCCAUGAGUCCUUAAUUCUCACUCGCCGACCUCGAUCUCCUUCUUAAUCGUUGCAGUCACCGAAGUCAGCAGCAUUCACGCAGCUGACUUUAAAGGGAAACAUGUUUCUGAUUUCUUCUUUUGUGGAAACGCUUUUCUGCGCGUUUCGUUUCUGAAACGCAAAACGCGGGUUUUUUAACGUUUCGGUGCAUCAUAGCUACCAUGUCUUUAGAAAGUCUAAUAUCAACCAUGUCAUUCGGGUUGCGUAAGAACCUUGACUGAGAAGCAAUUCUCAAGACAUAUGUUAAGGAUUCGAGGCAUAAUAUUCUCUAUAGCUUCUUAACUCUGCUUGGGAUGCUUUUAGAUCAUUGAGCUGAAAGGAAGUUAGUGCACAUUAAUCACAAUUAAACCAUACUAAGCAGAAAGAAAAAUAGGAAAACUGUUAAGACCCACCCCGAAUUUCAUCAUGAAACCCGAAGUAAAUCCUGCAGGGACCACCUCCAAGGAUAAUUUACCGAAAAUUCGGCAUAACCUCCCUUGAAAAUAGACAACCCUUCCUAGAAAAUACUUGCAUACACUUCAAAAUAAUCCAUCUAUAACCCUCCAAGGAAAAUUUACCGAAAAUUCGGCAUAACCUCCCUUGAAAAUAGACAACCCUUCCUAGAAAAUACCUGCAUACAGUUCAAAAGAAUCCAUCUAUAACCCUCUACUCUUGGAGCCUUCGUGCUCCCCAAAUCACAACAUCUCCCAAUUUAUUUACUAACUAAAAAAAA
This 996-nucleotide long non-coding RNA is filed under the name Fragaria vesca (wild strawberry). RNAcentral's name for it is "long non-coding RNA (FVES_LNC001064)". Lineage: Eukaryota; Viridiplantae; Streptophyta; Magnoliopsida; Rosales; Rosaceae. The record is from RNAcentral.